UUGACUCAAAAUUGGUUUAUACUGAAGCCUGAAUGGAAGUCACAGUCAGACUACAGAACCAAGGCCCUCAAGAUUCCCUGCUUCUUUUAUGGCAUCCUUGUGGUAUUGACCAGAAUUACAAUGCAGAUUAUUAAACCCAUUUUCAAGUUGAGAAAACUGAGAUUUCAAGAGAUUAAGUGACUUGCAAAUUAAAGAUUUCAUCAGGUAAUAUUUUUGGAGUGGAGAUGUCAGAGCAAGUUCUGGAUCUGCUUCUGAGACUGACUUUCAGCAGUUUUCUCAAAGCAGAGUUUCAUCUAAGCAACAAUGAAGGAAGCCUUCAAUUUCAAAUUCUCGGGGGGAUUCAAAUACUUUCUGAGAAAAAGGGUGGCUGUUCCAGGCAUGAAAUGAAUGCUGUGCUUAGCAACAAGUCAAUGCACUCUAAAGUUCUUGCAAAGGAAAACAAUUUUAUGAAGGUUCCUAAGGUGAAGUACUGUGAACAAUACAUUAAUAUGUAUUUUCCCCUAAAUACUUCUGGUUCUCUUUUCCACUUUUCUGGUGUUAUCUUUAGCAGUUAAUGGCCAUACUUCUAUCUGGUCCCAUAUCAUUAAUUUUGAUCAGAUGUUUUCUCCUCUCAGGUCCCAUAAGUGAAAAAUUCCAAACACAAUGCCUAGAUUAGCACAAAAAAGCUAGCACAUAAAGUACAAUCUUUUAAAUAAUCACAGUCAGUAACAGUAAUGCUAAUAAGAUGCCAUGAUAACAAUAAUAAUAAUAAUAACAUUAAGAAGUCUUACCUUCCAAUAAAACUUGUUGCUUUCAAAACGACCUCAAAAAGCCUUUGUUAACUGGCAUACUGGGCCAUAAAGCUAAACAGAAGUCACAUCAGAUCUAAAAUGAGAUUCGUAUACUGCUUUAUUUGCUCUGAUUAAGCCAUGCUUUUGUUUGUGCUUUUGAAGUAUAAAGAAAAGAAAAACUGAGGGUAUUUAUACAUAUAUACGUUACAAUAUAUUUGUCUCUAUGUAUGUACGUAUGUAUAUGUCUACCAUUCUAGCUAAAUAAAGUUUA
This is a long non-coding RNA of Phascolarctos cinereus (koala), 1041 nucleotides long. RefSeq lists it as uncharacterized. The record is from RefSeq and is a predicted model, not a curated record. Lineage: Eukaryota; Metazoa; Chordata; Mammalia; Diprotodontia; Phascolarctidae.